CGAGCGAACAGAUAAGGAGCUUGCUCCUUUGACGUUAGCGGCGGACGGGUGAGUAACACGUGGGUAACCUACCUAUAAGACUGGAAUAACUCCGGGAAACCGGGGCUAAUGCCGGAUAACAUAUAGAACCGCAUGGUUCUAUAGUGAAAGAUGGUUUUGCUAUCACUUAUAGAUGGACCCGCGCCGUAUUAGCUAGUUGGUAAGGUAAUGGCUUACCAAGGCGACGAUACGUAGCCGACCUGAGAGGGUGAUCGGCCACACUGGAACUGAGACACGGUCCAGACUCCUACGGGAGGCAGCAGUAGGGAAUCUUCCGCAAUGGGCGAAAGCCUGACGGAGCAACGCCGCGUGAGUGAUGAAGGGUUUCGGCUCGUAAAACUCUGUUAUUAGGGAAGAACAUAUGUGUAAGUAACUGUGCACAUCUUGACGGUACCUAAUCAGAAAGCCACGGCUAACUACGUGCCAGCAGCCGCGGUAAUACGUAGGUGGCAAGCGUUAUCCGGAAUUAUUGGGCGUAAAGCGCGCGUAGGCGGUUUCUUAAGUCUGAUGUGAAAGCCCACGGCUCAACCGUGGAGGGUCAUUGGAAACUGGGAAACUUGAGUGCAGAAGAGGAAAGUGGAAUUCCAUGUGUAGCGGUGAAAUGCGCAGAGAUAUGGAGGAACACCAGUGGCGAAGGCGACUUUCUGGUCUGUAACUGACGCUGAUGUGCGAAAGCGUGGGGAUCAAACAGGAUUAGAUACCCUGGUAGUCCACGCCGUAAACGAUGAGUGCUAAGUGUUAGGGGGUUUCCGCCCCUUAGUGCUGCAGCUAACGCAUUAAGCACUCCGCCUG
This 831-nucleotide ribosomal RNA is filed under the name Staphylococcus sp. SK4. RNAcentral describes it as "bacterial SSU rRNA". It matches the Rfam family "Bacterial small subunit ribosomal RNA", at positions 63 to 875 of the family's 1533-position model. The record is from RNAcentral. Lineage: Bacteria; Bacillati; Bacillota; Bacilli; Caryophanales; Staphylococcaceae.